RNAcentral lists this unclassified non-coding RNA (253 nucleotides) under uncultured Bacteroidota bacterium. RNAcentral describes it as "uncultured Bacteroidetes bacterium contains 16S-23S intergenic spacer region". It matches the Rfam family "Bacterial small subunit ribosomal RNA", at positions 524 to 776 of the family's 1533-position model. The record is from RNAcentral. Lineage: Bacteria; Pseudomonadati; Bacteroidota.
UACGGAGGGUGCAAGCGUUGUCCGGAAUCACUGGGUGUAAAGGGUGUGUAGGCGGGUCGGUAAGUCAGAGGUGAAAGCCCACGGCUCAACCGUGGAAUUGCCUUUGAUACUGCCGGUCUUGAGUCCCGGAGGGGUCACUGGAAUUCGUGGUGUAGCGGUGAAAUGCGUAGAUAUCACGAGGAACACCGGAGGUGUAGACGGGUGACUGGACGGCGACUGACGCUGAGGCACGAAAGCGUGGGGAGCAAACAGG